AUGCCACCGCCACAUUCCUCGUUUUCCCCAUCGAUCCAAUCCAUCCAUCCCGCAGCUUCCCCUCGAUCCCGUCGCCUCCUUGCUCGGGAGAGCAAAGGCUCGACCCCGAGCCUCCCGUGCGCCUCCACCUCCCUGCCGGAGCAGCACCAGCCGCUCCCCACUGCUUGCAGACGCCUCCCCUCCCGGCUCCCGUGCGUGUCCAGCACCAAAGGAGAGGAGCUCCUCGAGCCCUCGAUCCAGCGGGCAGGUGCCCGAGCGCCUCCUCACCUCGUCCCCGUCGCCGCUACCUGCCUCGCCUCCUGCCGAGCGCCUCCCUCACCUGCGGCCUCCUCCCCGACCCCGCGCCAAGUUCGUCUUCGAGCUGCGCCGCCGCCUGGAGCUUCUUCACCGGAGGCCUUCGCCUCGUCCGGAGCCGCCGUGUGUGUCCUCCCCGUCCCUGCCGUUCGUGCCACCGGAUCGGGUCGCCUCCGCCCGGCUCCUCUCGCCCGACUGCCCUUGCUUGCCUCCCGCCGCAGGGCCUCGUCUCUGCUUCGAGCAGAGGAACAAAGCUGUCGCCGCCCGCUUCGUCAGAUUCAGGACGCGAGCGUUGCUCGUGUUGACCGCGCCCUGAACCCCCCCAAGCUCGUGGAUGCCCGGCGCCCGAGGCCUCCUGCCUCCCUAAUGCUCGUCGCCGAGCACCGGUGCCCUCGCCGGAAACCAUCCGCGCCGCCCGCCAAGUCCUGCGCCUCUGCUUCGCUCACCCGAACCAGCGCCUCGUCCUGGUCCUCGCUCGCGUUGACCCCGCCAAGUCCUACGACCGACCGCCCGCGCCUAGGCCACCUCCCCUUCACCAGAUCCGGCCCAACCGCUCCUCUGCUUUGGCCCGGCCGCCCACCUGCGUCGCCCCGCGAGCCUCCUCCACCGAUCUGGGCCAUGGCCCAUGUUGUGAGGAUUCGUUCGACUACAUCCGUUUGUCUUCUUCGUGGACUCGUUCUUCUUCCUAGCGGGAUUUCAGGCAAGAUGAUCAUACCCUCGAAAUCACUUCUAUCUUCGCUUGCUAGUUGUUCAUUCUAUUGCUAUGCUGCGCUACCUACCACUUGCUAUAUCAUGCCUCCCAUAUUGCCAUGUCAAGCCUCUAAUCCACUCUUCCUAGCAAACCGUUGUUUGGCUAUGUUACCGCUUUUGCUCAGCCCCUCUUAUAGCGUUGCUAGUUGCAGGAUAAGAUGA
This 1206-nucleotide ribosomal RNA is filed under the name Triticum aestivum (bread wheat). RNAcentral describes it as "partial small subunit ribosomal RNA". Lineage: Eukaryota; Viridiplantae; Streptophyta; Magnoliopsida; Poales; Poaceae. The record is from RNAcentral.